This is a non-coding RNA of Pelobates cultripes (western spadefoot toad), 224 nucleotides long. The record is from the annotation of a GenBank genome assembly. NCBI's taxonomy places the organism in Eukaryota, Metazoa, Chordata, Amphibia, Anura, Pelobatidae.
UCAUCUUGAAGCUGCAAAAAAAGUGUUUAUUUUAUCGUUUCCUCAAUUAUUUGAUCUCAAUUUAAGGAUUUGCUUGAUGGAAAUGGCAUAGAUGGGUGAUAUAUGGUGGAUAAACAAUUUAACUGCUCUGCUGGUUUUUAUGGAAUAUUAAAGGACCACCAUAGUGCCAGGAAAACAAACUUUUUCCUGGCACUAUAGGGUCUUUAGGUCCCUCCCACCCUCAG